CCGCCUAGGGGCCGUUCUGGGGGCAUCUUACUUGGUGUGAAUACAAGGAAUAUGGAUGUGUUGGCUAGUUCGGAUGGUGAGUAUAAUAUUAAACUCCAUAUCCGCAACAAGGCCGACAACUUCAGAUGGACCCUCGUCGCUGUGUAUGGUGCUACCCAGGAUGAAUUCAAGGCCUACUUUCUUUGUGAACUGGUUAAUCUAGUGAAAGAUAAUCCCCAUCCUAUUCUGAUAGGUGGUGAUUUUAAUUUUCUAAGAUUCCCAAACAAGAAAAGUCGUGGUAGGUUUGAUAAUCAUUGGCCUUUCCCGUUCAAUGUUGUUAUUGACGGUCUUGAUCUGCGAGAGAUUUCCAUGAUUGGAAGACAUUUCACUUGGGUGAACAGUCUCCAUGAACCGGCAUACGAGAAAUUAGAUCGUGUGUUGAUUGAUACUCAAAUGUGA
RNAcentral lists this ribosomal RNA (438 nucleotides) under Triticum aestivum (bread wheat). Its description in RNAcentral is "partial small subunit ribosomal RNA". The record is from RNAcentral. Lineage: Eukaryota; Viridiplantae; Streptophyta; Magnoliopsida; Poales; Poaceae.